Hibiscus syriacus is the source of this 593-nucleotide long non-coding RNA. RefSeq lists it as uncharacterized. The transcript is spliced from 2 exons. The record is from RefSeq and is a predicted model, not a curated record. Lineage: Eukaryota; Viridiplantae; Streptophyta; Magnoliopsida; Malvales; Malvaceae.
CAGAAACAUCUUCCCCCAUUUGUUAUUUUCUCUGGUUUGUUCUUCAAGCUGAAGAACAACCACCCCAUUUUCCAGAUUCCGGUCGUUGCGCCGCCUUGCCAGCCGCCGUUGAACGGCGCCAACCGCCGCUCACCGGCGACAAAAUAUAAAAAGUUUCUGUUUUUUUUAAAAGCCCUUCGUAUACUCGUUCCAAAAAUCUAAAUAGUUUUUUUAGAUCAAGCCUCGAAGAGAGUAGAUCUACGAACGAAGGUUCGAAAAAUCCUCCCUCCUCUGUCAUUGGCUUUUUGUUUCGAAUCAACCAAAAUGGAGUAUAAACGACAUGCAUGCAAGAGAACGAACCGAAAGCAAGGAUUCUUGCAAGACGACCUUUUACUGGAUUGAAGGAAAGGCUUAAAGCUAAAGAACUGGAAGAAGAUGAUCUUACCUAAAAGAGCUUCGGGUUGUGAUAAUCGCCAUUGUUUCUAGGGUUUUUUUAGUGAAUUGCUUUGCAUUUUGUCUGUGUGAGUAUAAUAAAACUAUUGGUUUAGGAAAUGUUUUACUUGUUUGGCUUUAAAUUUUUUGAACUUCGCCGAUGAUUAUACUGUGCUUUUUUU